RNAcentral lists this ribosomal RNA (444 nucleotides) under uncultured bacterium. RNAcentral's name for it is "bacterial SSU rRNA". It matches the Rfam family "Bacterial small subunit ribosomal RNA", at positions 29 to 517 of the family's 1533-position model. The record is from RNAcentral.
AACGAACGCUGGCGGCAUGCCUAACACAUGCAAGUCGAACGAUGCCUUCGGGCAUAGUGGCGCACGGGUGCGUAACGCGUGGGAAUCUGCCCUUGGGUUCGGAAUAACUCAGAGAAAUUUGAGCUAAUACCGGAUGAUGACGUAAGUCCAAAGAUUUAUCGCCCAAGGAUGAGCCCGCGUAAGAUUAGCUAGUUGGUGGGGUAAAGGCCUACCAAGGCGACGAUCUUUAGCUGGUCUGAGAGGAUGAUCAGCCACACUGGGACUGAGACACGGCCCAGACUCCUACGGGAGGCAGCAGUGGGGAAUAUUGGACAAUGGGCGAAAGCCUGAUCCAGCAAUGCCGCGUGAGUGAUGAAGGCCUUAGGGUUGUAAAGCUCUUUUACCAGGGAUGAUAAUGACAGUACCUGGAGAAUAAGCUCCGGCUAACGUCCGUGCCAGCAGCCG